RNAcentral lists this small RNA (2714 nucleotides) under Pan troglodytes (chimpanzee). RNAcentral's name for it is "processed transcript". Lineage: Eukaryota; Metazoa; Chordata; Mammalia; Primates; Hominidae. The record is from RNAcentral.
AUUCCAGGCUCCUCCCUGUGUCUUUGCUGUUCUUCAGACUCCAUUUAUAGAGAAUGAGGGCUGAUAACAGGAAUACAGCGGUAAAGACUAGACUGUGGAAAGGGUUCCAGAAAUCUUUUUUUCUUUUUUAAUUAAAAAAAAUAUUUGCAGAGAUGAGCUCUUGCUAUGUUGCCCAGGCUGGUCUCAAACUCCUGGGCUCAAGCGAUCCUCCCAUCUCAGCCUCCCAGAGUGCUGGGAUUACAGGUGUGAGCUACUGCGCCCAGCCCCAGAAAUCUCAGUGCUGUUUGGAGCUCCAUUUCUCAUUUGAUGACUUGCUCUGCGUGGGGAGGUGGGGUCUCAUUCCCCCAGCUUCCUCAGGGAGGACCCCUGCCCUCCGCUGCUCCUCUGUCCUGCUAGCCUUCCUCCAGGAAGCACACUGGGUGCAGAUAAUCAGGCCAUUCCAGAGAGCCCCAAUUUAAGAGGGUCAUUUCCAUCUCAGGGGACUCCCGCAUGGGUGUUUCCGCUCUCAGUAGCCCCUCUUGUUUUACCAGGAAAGAUCCAGUUAAAUCACCCACUGAGGUGACAGCUCAUUAGCGGGGAGAGAGAUGGAGCAUCGAGUGACGCUGGGCCAUCCAGGCGGCUCUGCUCCCACCAGACAGGAGCUAGGCCUCACUGGCAGGGGGGCUGCCCACAGCCUUUUCAGGGGCUCGCUUGGCGGGUGACAGGGCCACAGCCAGGCCUUCUCUCCCUGCCCCUUGGUGACCCCGUGGCUUCCUGUCUGCUGGCCUCUCCUGCUACUUAUCACUUCACCACGAACUCUCUGCCUGAGACUGGGGAAGUAAGCGGGUAUCUUCUCAGUGAGCAUAGGUUGGGGACUGUGAUCUUGAGAAGCCAUGGGCCAGCAAUACCUGCUUUUCUGAAACCCCCAAGGAGGGCUCUGACAUUCUUUUUAAAAACACCACAAAGCAAAAUUCCCAGGACACGUGUAGUUUUGUUUGUUCAACAUCCCACAACUUAAGGCUGGGAGAUGGAAUUCUUGGUUAAGGUCGAUUUUUCUGUCUGGCUUCUCCCGCACCUUCCACUUGCUCUCUGGAUCAGGCAGAUAUAAACUUUCUAGCGCAUUUUGAGAGAGGGCUUUCUUGGGUGAGGGAGCAUGGCGAAGUUGGUUUCUCUCUGGACUGUUUACACUUCAAGGCGGUGGAUUUAAAGGAAUCCUGGCUUUCAUUUUCAAUGCCAGUCUGAGACAUGUUCCCAAGCCGGGGCUCUUGUUCACACUACUUACUCUGGCCACCAACGACAACCCAGGCCAGACAGAGCAUCUCUUUUUUUUUUUUUUUUUUUUUUUUUUUGAGACAGAGUCUCUGUCGCCCAGGCUGGAGCCCAGUGGCGAGAUCUUGGCUCACUACAACCUCCGCCUCCCGGGUUCAGGCAAUUCUCGUGCCUAAGCCUCCCGAGUAGCUGCGACUACAGGCGCCGGCCACCAUGCCUGUCUAAUUUUUGUGUUUUAGUAGAGGCAGGGUUUCACCAUGUUGCCCAGGUUGGUCUCGAACUCCUGAGCUCAGGCAGUCUACCCACCUCAGCCUCCCAAAGUGCUGGGAUUACAGGCGUGAGCCACCGCGCCCAGCCAGAACAUCUGUUUUUAUACCCAGAGAGCGCCCCUCGUUAGGACACAACCACGGUGCCCAGAGCCGGGAAGCCGCCCUCCUGGCGCCCAGCAUCUGAGCUUCUACACGUGAUGGGCGGGCUCAGGAGAGGACAGGGAGUCGUGGUGGAAGUUCCACAGCUGGCCGCGUGGGGGGGCCCUUGCACUGCACUGCCGCCUCCUGACUGCCCCGAUCCCCGCAGCUCCUGUGCCGGAUUUCAUUUCCCUCCUCUCUCCCAGGGUACCUGGCCCCAGCACUCUCCCAUCUGUUCUUGAGGAACCGACUCCUCUUCAGUUGCAACACCAGAGAGAAAGGGGCCUCCACAUGCCCAAGUACCCCUGCAGGAUGAAGGGGAGGCCGGCCCUUGAUGUGCCAUUUCUGAAUAAUAGUCACUGCCGCCGAGUCUAGGAUGUCCUGUUCUAACUCAGCCCUGCCUCGGAUGCACCACCGAUCUGUGCAGAGUGGGUGUGAGAGUGUGGGUGAGGGUCGAAAUGCCAAAGGUCUACUUUCCAGAAUCAAGUGCCUUCUGCAAAUCACGUUGGAAAAGUCCAAACCUGGAGAUGUCCCUGUGCCUCCGCCCCUACCCACCCCCUUUCCUUCAGCUGUGUUAGGAAGAAGUUUUCAGAACCCUUCUAGGCUGGUGGCUUUCAAACUUCAGACCAUGAUCUUCAGCAAGAAACGUGCCUUCCAUCAUAAAUCAGUCCAUUUGUUUACAACUGUGUUCCAAGCAGGUUUCAUAAAGAAAUUCUUACCCUUAGAACCUCGGAUAUCCUCUAUGUUUUAGUUUUCAUUUUUUUAAAAUGCUUCUUAAAAUUCACUAAAUUGGGCUAGGUGUGGGUCAUGCCUGUAAUCCCAGCACUAUGGGAGGCUGAGGUGAGAGGAUCACUUGAGCCCAGAAGGCUGGUCUCGAACUCCUGACCUCAGGUGAUCCAUCCGCCUCGGCCUCCCAAAGUGCUGGGAUUACAGGCGGGAGCCACCAUGCCUGGCCAGAACAAAUGCCUUUUUAAACCUUUUAAGAACAUUUUUUAAAUGUCUUUUUCUAUGUCAAAUGUAACGUUUAUUUUUUUAAACAAUAAAAUUGAUUUGCCAAAA